Rhinopithecus bieti (black snub-nosed monkey) is the source of this 1583-nucleotide long non-coding RNA. The record is from Ensembl. Lineage: Eukaryota; Metazoa; Chordata; Mammalia; Primates; Cercopithecidae.
AGAAUUUAUAAAGUGCUUUGAAAGCUACAUGGUCCCUGAAAUUUACAAAGGACCCACAGUCAGGGAAGUCUACUGGACAUAUGGGGAAACUGAGGCACCACAGUGGGCAGGGUGGGAGUCCGGGCAUUCCAGGGCCCCCACUUACUGGCAACAUCACCCCAGCAGGCUCCUUAAUCUCCACGUGCCUCAGUUUCCUUAACUGUCAAAGGGGUGAGAGUCACCUCUUUGGGCUGCCGUGAUAGUGAGUGGGGUCCCGCGUUUAUUAUGAUGGGCUGUGGACGGAGGAGAGUUGGGAGGAGGCUGGCGUGGAGAGAGGAGGUGCUUGGGGGCUUCCUGCUCUGGCUUUGUGCUCCAUCCCCUGUGGGACUGAUGAGGAGACUGAGGCCCGAGAGGACCCAUGUUCUGUAAAAUAUCCCUCAAAUCCAGCCUCCUCUCUGCCCACUCCAGCCCCACCCCCACCACCAAGACCUCCCGGGUCUCCCAGCUUCUGCUCCAUCCCCGGGAGCCCAUUGCUUGAAACUCAUGACCCCACACGCAUUAACAUGGAUAUCAGGGUGCCCUGUGGGAGGACAAAUCCCUCUCUUUUUAGUGGGAGAAGCCGGCAGUGGCUUCGGGACUGGACAGGGCAUGAAGCCAGUACUCCCUGGGCACCGGCCCACGUUAAAUGUCUUCAUCCGAGCAUUCAGCAAGGGUUUAUUGAGCACCUGCCCUGUUCUAGCUUCUGUGGACACAGCCGUGCACAAGACACAAGAUUCCCACCUUGGGAGCCACAGUGGGAGAAGGUCGUGGAAAAGACAGAGAAGGUACGUGAUUGGGGGAUAUCAGAUAUUAUCCAAGGUGUCAAGAAACAAGACAGAAGGGAAAGAGGACUCACACGGGCGCGCGUUUAUACACGCGUGUGCAUGUGCGCCUGUUUGUACACGUGUGUGCGUCUGUGCCUGUUUGUACACGCGUGUGCGCGUGCGCCUGUGUUUGUGCACGUGUGUGCGUCUGUGCCUGUGUUUGUACACGCGUGUGCCUGUUUGUACACGCGUGUGCACGUGUGCCUGUGUUUGUACACGUGUGUGCGUCUGUGCCUGUGUUUGUACAUGUUGGGGGUCGAGGGUUGACCCUUUAAACGGGAAUCCAGGGAAGCCUCACGGAGGAGGCAACACUCACGCAGAGGCCUGAGGUGGAGGAGGAGAGAGCCGUGGAAAGAUCCAGAAGAAGCGUAUUCCAGGCAGAGGGCACAGCCGUGCAAAGGCCCCAGGACAGGAUCAUGCCUGGCGUGUUGGAGGAACAGCGAGGAGGCCCGUGUGGCUGAAGCAGAAUGAGGAGGGGGAGAGAGGGUGGAGGGAGGGCAGGAAGGGGACAGGGCAGGUGGUGCAGGUUCCUGUGGGUCCCCGGGAGGACUUGGGCUUUGACCCCAAGGCAGGAGCCGUGGAGCGCUGUGGGCAGGGAAGCGGUGGGACCUGUGCUGGGGGCUGGGUGCUCAGUAAAUACAUGUUGAGUUAAUGAAUGUCGCUUUGGCCGCGUGGGGGAAUCCAAUCCUCCCAGCGCCCCACAGCACAGGUGCUGCCCCCGUCCCCCCCCCCCCCCCCCCC